RNAcentral lists this long non-coding RNA (203 nucleotides) under Elaeis guineensis (African oil palm). RNAcentral describes it as "long non-coding RNA (EGUI_LNC073860)". The record is from RNAcentral. Lineage: Eukaryota; Viridiplantae; Streptophyta; Magnoliopsida; Arecales; Arecaceae.
CUUGAAGAAGCUCAGGGGACUGCGGGCUCAACGUCGGAGGGGGCAUCAACGAUAAUGGCUGCCUGGGCAAGCAUGACCGAGCUUGUCUCCUCUACCCUCACCUUCUUUACCGACCCAGAAGUUGUGGCACCUUUCUUCUUGUGGGCCUUGAGACCCUUGGCAAGUAUCUGAGCUACGUCUGCAUCCAUGUCUGCAAUGAAAAA